Long non-coding RNA from Patiria miniata (bat star), 352 nucleotides. RefSeq lists it as uncharacterized. The transcript has 3 exons. The record is from RefSeq and is a predicted model, not a curated record. Lineage: Eukaryota; Metazoa; Echinodermata; Asteroidea; Valvatida; Asterinidae.
AAGAUUGAGAUCCAAAACCUCCCAAGACAUUUUGGAUUUGUGGAAGACAUCAGUUCCCAGCUCAACAGCUCCACCAGUGAUCUUCCUGACCUCACCAGACAGUUUUUUUGUGUGGUCUGUUUCAAGUCGAUCAUUAGGCUCUGUGAAUGACUGCUGAAUCUACGAGAUCUGUUGGAAAAGAAGACCUGGGGACGCGCAUCGGCAAAUUAUCAACUCACAUUGAUGAGAUCAAGGGUGAAAUCUACCACGCCGUACACGAGAAGUAUGCCAACUACAGACCCACCAGGGACUCCACCCAGGAGCUACACAACAAGGUGCAGACACUGUCCACUGAGAUGCAGACUCUCAGCAA